Molecule: ribosomal RNA, 376 nt
Filed under: uncultured bacterium
Lineage: Bacteria
Description: bacterial SSU rRNA
Rfam family: Bacterial small subunit ribosomal RNA
Source: RNAcentral
AUACGUAGGGGGCAAGCGUUGUCCGGAGUUAUUGGGCGUAAAGGGCGUGUAGGCGGCCUGUUAAGUCAGGUGUGAAAUUUCAGGGCUCAACCCUGAACGUGCGUUUGAAACUGGCAGGCUAGAGGGCAGGAGAGGGAAGUGGAAUUCCCGGUGUAGCGGUGGAAUGCGUAGAUAUCGGGAGGAACACCAGUGGCGAAGGCGACUUCCUGGACUGUACCUGACGCUGAGGCGCGAAAGCUAGGGGAGCAAACAGGAUUAGAUACCCUGGUAGUCCUAGCUGUAAACGAUGAGUGCUAGGUGUGGGGGGUUGAAAUCCUUCCGUGCCGGAGUUAACGCAAUAAGCACUCCGCCUGGGGAGUACGGCCGCAAGGCUAAA